Molecule: ribosomal RNA, 428 nt
Filed under: uncultured bacterium
Lineage: Bacteria
Description: partial 16S ribosomal RNA
Rfam family: Bacterial small subunit ribosomal RNA
Source: RNAcentral
UGGGGAAUAUUGCGCAAUGGGCGAAAGCCUGACGCAGCAACGCCGCGUGAGUGAAGAAGGCCCUUGGGUUGUAAAGCUCUUUCGGUUGGGAAGAAGGGUAAUUGUGUUAAUAGCAUAGUUAUUUGAUGGUACCAAAAGAAGAAGCACCGGCUAACUUCGUGCCAGCAGCCGCGGUAAUACGAAGGGUGCGAGCGUUGUUCGGAAUUACUGGGCGUAAAGGGUUUGUAGGCUGAAAUGUAAGUCAAGUGUGAAAUCCCCGAGCUAAACUUGGGACGUGCAUUUGAAACUGUGUUUCUUGAGUAUCGUAGAGGGUGGUGGAAUUGCAGGUGUAGGAGUGACAUCCGUAGAGAUCUGCAGGAACAUCAGAGGCGAAGGCGACCACCUGGCCGAUUACUGACGCUGAGGAACGAAAGCGUGGGGAGCAAACA